Molecule: ribosomal RNA, 253 nt
Filed under: uncultured bacterium
Lineage: Bacteria
Description: partial 16S ribosomal RNA
Rfam family: Bacterial small subunit ribosomal RNA
Source: RNAcentral
UACAGAGGGUGCAAGCGUUGUUCGGAAUCAUUGGGCGUAAAGAGCUCGUAGGCGGCUUGUUGCGUCGACUGUGAAAACUCACGGCUUAACCGUGGAACUGCAGUCGAUACGGGCAGGCUAGAGUUCGGUAGGGGAGACUGGAAUUCCUGGUGUAGCGGUGAAAUGCGCAGAUAUCAGGAGGAACACCGGUGGCGAAGGCGGGUCUCUGGGCCGAUACUGACGCUGAGGAGCGAAAGCGUGGGGAGCGAACAGG